This 762-nucleotide ribosomal RNA is filed under the name uncultured Bacteroides sp. Its description in RNAcentral is "bacterial SSU rRNA". It matches the Rfam family "Bacterial small subunit ribosomal RNA", at positions 1 to 770 of the family's 1533-position model. The record is from RNAcentral. Lineage: Bacteria; Pseudomonadati; Bacteroidota; Bacteroidia; Bacteroidales; Bacteroidaceae.
GGCUUAGAGUUUGAUCCUGGCUCAGGAUGAACGCUAGCGACAGGCUUAACACAUGCAAGUCGAGGGGCAGCACGGGAGUAGCAAUACAACUGGUGGCGACCGGCGCACGGGUGAGUAACGCGUAUGCAACCUACCUAUCAGAGGGGAAUAACCCGGCGAAAGUCGGACUAAUACCGCAUAAAACAGGGGCACCGCAUGGUGAUAUUUGUUAAAGAAAUUCGCUGAUAGAUGGGCAUGCGUUCCAUUAGGUAGUUGGUGAGGUAACGGCUCACCAAGCCGACGAUGGAUAGGGGAACUGAGAGGUUGGUCCCCCACACUGGUACUGAGACACGGACCAGACUCCUACGGGAGGCAGCAGUGAGGAAUAUUGGUCAAUGGGCGGGAGCCUGAACCAGCCAAGUCGCGUGAAGGAAGAAGGAUCUAUGGUUCGUAAACUUCUUUUGCAGGGGAAUAAAGUGCAGGACGUGUCCUGUUUUGUAUGUACCCUGAGAAUAAGGAUCGGCUAACUCCGUGCCAGCAGCCGCGGUAAUACGGAGGAUCCGAGCGUUAUCCGGAUUUAUUGGGUUUAAAGGGUGCGUAGGUGGUUUGAUAAGUCAGCGUGAAGUUUGCAGCUUAACUGUAAAUGCCGUUGAAACUGUCGGACUUGAGUGUAAAUGAGUAGCGGAAUGCGUGGUGUAGCGKGAAUGCAUAGAUWUCMCGCAGACUCCGAUUGCGAGCAGCUACUAGCUACAACUGACACUGAAGCMCGAAGCGUGGGGAUCA